This 504-nucleotide ribosomal RNA is filed under the name uncultured bacterium. RNAcentral describes it as "partial 16S ribosomal RNA". It matches the Rfam family "Bacterial small subunit ribosomal RNA", at positions 28 to 523 of the family's 1533-position model. The record is from RNAcentral.
GAUGAACGCUAGCUACAGGCUUAAUACAUGCAAGUCGAACGGGAUCUGAGGGUAGCUUGCUACCCGAUUUGAGAGUGGCGCACGGGUGCGUAACGCGUGAGCAACCUACCCAUAUCAGGGGGAUAGCCCGAAGAAAUUCGGAUUAACACCGCAUAAUAAUACGCUAACACAUGUUGAUGUAUUUAAAUAUUUAUAGGAUAUGGAUGGGCUCGCGUGACAUUAGCUAGUUGGUAAGGUAACGGCUUACCAAGGCGACGAUGUCUAGGGGCUCUGAGAGGAGAAUCCCCCACACUGGUACUGAGACACGGACCAGACUCCUACGGGAGGCAGCAGUAAGGAAUAUUGGUCAAUGGGCGCAAGCCUGAACCAGCCAUGCCGCGUGCAGGAUGACUGCCCUAUGGGUUGUAAACUGCUUUUGUUAGGGAAUAAACCUUCUUACGUGUAAGGAGCUGAAUGUACCUAAAGAAUAAGGAUCGGCUAACUCCGUGCCAGCAGCCGCCGUAA